RNAcentral lists this ribosomal RNA (468 nucleotides) under uncultured bacterium. Its description in RNAcentral is "partial 16S ribosomal RNA". It matches the Rfam family "Bacterial small subunit ribosomal RNA", at positions 28 to 507 of the family's 1533-position model. The record is from RNAcentral.
GACGAACGCUGGCGGCGUGCUUAACACAUGCAAGUCGAACGGUGAAGCUCCAGCUUGCUGGAGUGUAUCCGUGGCGAACGGGUGAGUAACCCGUGAGCAACCUGCCCCUUACUCUGUAAUAAGCGCUGGAAACGGCUUCUACUACUGGAUACGAGAAGGGUCCGCAUGGGCACUUUCUGGCCUGUUUUUCGGUUGGGGAUGGGCUCGCGGCCUAUCAGCUUGUUGGUUAGGUAAUGGCUCACCAAGGCGACGACGGGUGGCCGGCCUGAGAGGGCGACCGGCCACACUGGGACUGAGACACGGCCCAGACUCCUACGGGAGGCAGCAGUGGGGAAUAUUGCACAAUGGGCGAAAGCCUGAUGCAGCGACGCCGCGUGAGGGAUGAAGGCCUUCGGGGUGUAAACCGCUUUCAGCAGGGAAGAAGCGAAAGUGACGGUACCUGCAGAAGAAGCACCGGCUAACUACGUG